This 345-nucleotide long non-coding RNA is filed under the name Olea europaea (common olive). RNAcentral's name for it is "long non-coding RNA (OEUR_LNC005962)". The record is from RNAcentral. Lineage: Eukaryota; Viridiplantae; Streptophyta; Magnoliopsida; Lamiales; Oleaceae.
GAAUGAAGCGGCCGCGGAAAAGUCGAGCUAUCGACUAUAACUUAGCGCUGGGUGGGAGGCAACCCACUGUAUCCUUUUUAUCUGUUUAUUUACUUUAUUAUGUUUUCUGCAUUAACUUAGGAAGUUUAUUUUCACAUUCAUUUAGUAUUCCGUUAUGUGGUCAUCAAUCAUCUAGGCAUUUCAAAGAGUCCAAGCACUGUGCACAUGAGUCAUUAAGAAUCACACACAAGUUCGGGUUGAUUCACGUUGUUUUGGGUAGUUGACUGUGGAAUUCACGUAUUUCGAGAAAUAUUAUGUUUUCUAAAUUUCACAUGUCAAUAUUUUAAAAAUAUAUUUCUGAAAAAU